RNAcentral lists this ribosomal RNA (484 nucleotides) under uncultured bacterium. RNAcentral's name for it is "partial 16S ribosomal RNA". It matches the Rfam family "Bacterial small subunit ribosomal RNA", at positions 30 to 507 of the family's 1533-position model. The record is from RNAcentral.
AUUGAACGCUGGCGGCAGGCCUAACACAUGCAAGUCGAGCGGAUGAAGAGAGCUUGCUCAUGGAUUCAGCGGCGGACGGGUGGGUAAUGCCUAGGAAUCUGCCUGGUAGUGGGGGAUAACGUCCGGAAACGGGCGCUAAUACCGCAUACGUCCUGAGGGAGAAAGUGGGGGAUCUUCGGACCUCACGCUAUCAGAUGAGCCUAGGUCGGAUUAGCUAGUUGGUGGGGUAAAGGCCUACCAAGGCGACGAUCCGUAACUGGUCUGAGAGGAUGAUCAGUCACACUGGAACUGAGACACGGUCCAGACUCCUACGGGAGGCAGCAGUGGGGAAUAUUGGACAAUGGGCGAAAGCCUGAUCCAGCCAUGCCGCGUGUGUGAAGAAGGUCUUCGGAUUGUAAAGCACUUUAAGUUGGGAGGAAGGGCAGUAAGUUAAUACCUUGCUGUUUUGACGUUACCAACAGAAUAAGCACCGGCUAACUUCGUG